UACGUAGGGGGCUAGCGUUGUCCGGAUUUAUUGGGCGUAAAGAGCGUGUAGGCGGCCAGGCAGGUCUGCUGUGAAAACUCGAGGCUCAACCUCGAGACGUCGGCGGAAACCAUCUGGCUAGAGUCCGGAAGAGGAGAGUGGAAUUCCUGGUGUAGCGGUGAAAUGCGCAGAUAUCAGGAAGAACACCCGUGGCGAAGGCGACUCUCUGGGACGGUACUGACGCUGAGACGCGAAAGCGUGGGGAGCGAACAGG
This 253-nucleotide ribosomal RNA is filed under the name uncultured bacterium. Its description in RNAcentral is "partial 16S ribosomal RNA". It matches the Rfam family "Bacterial small subunit ribosomal RNA", at positions 524 to 776 of the family's 1533-position model. The record is from RNAcentral.